CGAGUGCAGAUAACCAUUACCGAGGUCUCUCCUUCCUCUUCCACACCAUCUGUUGCCGAAAAACACCCACUUUUGUUUCCACAAAACAAAAAACUAUAAAAACAAAACAAACCGGUUCUAGGGUUUGUUUUCUCAACACAAAACACACUCCCAAAACCCUAGUUUCCCACACUUCACAUUGACGAUCGAGCCUGUCGUCGUUCUUCUUCUCUGUGAUUCGGAGGUCAGUUCUCGCAGAUCUCUCUGAAAAUCGCAAUUAAUCUCUCCGUUCAGUUCAAUUCGUGGAAAAAGAUUUGAACUUUUGUUUUUUCCGAGAUUCUAUGGGCGAGAAAGUGUGAGAAAAUAGGGGCAAAUCGUUUCGAACUAUGGAGGAUCUCGAAAAGGCGAUUCUGAUAAGCUUUGAUGAAUCCGGGAGAGUUGAAUCGGCGCUGAAACUGCAAGCAGUGGGGUUUAUUGAUAAGAUAAAGGAGUCGCCUUUGAUAUGUAGUAUAUGCGUUGAGCGCUUGUGUUUUUCGAAGCUCGUUCAGGUGCAGUUCUGGUGCUUGCAGUGUUUACAUGAUGUGAUUCGUGUGCGCUACUCUUCGAUGAGUUUGGACGAGAAGGGUUUUGUGAGGAAAUCCGUGUUUUCCAUGGCGUGUUUCGAGCGUUUAGAGGGUGUGGAUGAUGAGAGCUCUGUUAGGGUUUUAGAAGGUCCGCCAUUCAUAAAGAAUAAGCUUGCUCAAGUUUUAGUAACUUUGAUUUAUUUUGAAUAUCCAUUGAUUUGGUCUUCGGUUUUUGUUGAUUAUCUUCCUCAUUUGGGUAAAGGCGCCCCAGUGAUCGACAUGUUUUGUCGGAUUUUGAAUGCCUUAGACGAUGAAUUGAUUAGUUUGGACUACACUCGAACUCAGGAUGAACUUGUGGUUGCAACGCGGGUAAAGGAUGCCAUGAGGCAACAAUGUGUGGCUCAGAUAGUGAGAGCUUGGUACAACAUUGUAUCUUUGUACAGAAAUUCUGAUCCGGAUCUCUGUUCUAGUGUGUUGGACUCAAUGAGAAGAUAUAUUUCUUGGAUUGAUAUUGGGUUAAUUGUGAAUGAUGCCUUUAUCCCAUUAUUGUUUGAGUUGAUUUUGGUCAAGGGAUUACCGGAACAACUUCGAGGUUCUGCUGCUGGGUGUGUUUUGGCGGUAGUCUCUAAGCGGAUGGAUCUGCAAGCCAAGCUCUCACUUUUGCAGAACCUUAAGAUUAGUCGGGUUUUUGGGUUGGUGGCCGAGGAUAGUGAUUCUGAAUUGGCUUCAAAAAUAGCCUCAUUACUCACUGGGUAUGCCACAGAACUUCUAGAAUGUUCCAAGAAGUUGAAUUCUGAGGAUCUUAAGCAGACCUCAAUGGAGCUUUUGGAUGAAGUUUUACCAUCAGUUUUUUUUGUAACACAGAACUGUGAGGUUGACAAUGCAUUCAGUAUCGUUCAGUUUCUUUUGGGUUUUGUGGCCACUAUGAAGAGCCUUUCACCUCUGACGGAGAAACAGCUGCUUCAUGUGGGCCAGAUAUUGGAAGUAAUACGCACACAGAUUUGCUAUGAUCCUAUUUAUCGUAAUAAUCUUGAUGUGUUUGAUAAAAUUGGGAGAGAAGAGGAAGGUAGGAUGGUGGAGUUUCGGAAGGAUUUCUUUGUGUUACUCCGUAGUGUUGGUCGUGUGGCACCGGAUGUCACACAGAUGUUCAUCAGAAAUUCGUUAGGGAAUGCUGUUGCAUCUUCAUCUGAUAGAAAUGUAGAAGAGGUAGAAGCUGCACUUUCCCUUUUCUAUGCUUUUGGAGAAUCAAUAAAUGAUGAGGUGAUGAAAGUUGGAAAUGGACCCCUGGGGCAAUUGGUGCUGAUGCUUUUAUCAACAACCUUUGCUUGCCAUUCCAAUAGGCUGGUUGCACUUGUGUAUUUGGAGACAGUAACAAGAUAUAUGAAGUUUGUUCAGGUGAACGACCAAUAUCUACAUUUGGUUCUUGCUGCCUUUCUUGAUGAAAGAGGUAUACACCAUCCAAACAUCAAUGUGAGUCGAAGGGCAAGUUAUCUUUUUAUGAGGGUUGUGAAAUCACUGAAAGCAAAGCUUGUCCCUUUCAUAGAAAAUAUUUUGCAGAAUCUGCAGGAUACAGUUGCUCAAUUUACGAGAAUGAACAGCAUGUCAAAAGAGCUUUCUGGAUCCGAGGACGGUAGUCACAUUUUUGAGGCUAUUGGCUUAUUAAUUGGAAUGGAAGAUGUACCACCAGAGAAGCAAUCCGAGUACCUAUCUUCAUUGCUAACUCCUCUUUGUCAACAGGUUAAGGUUGAGGUAUUGCUCAUAAAUGCCAAAGUACAGAAUGCAGAGGACCCUGUUGCAAAAAUUGCAAACAUCCAGCAAAUAAUCAUGGCAAUUAAUGCUUUAAGCAAGGGCUUCAGUGAGCGUCUUGUAACUGCUAGUCGCCCUGCUAUUGGUCUCAUGUUUAAGCAGACAUUGGAUGUCCUUCUCCAAAUUCUUGUUGUAUUUCCAAAAAUAGAGCCUCUGCGGACUAAGGUUACAUCAUUUAUUCACCGAAUGGUGGACACAUUAGGAGCAUCUGUAUUUCCUUACCUCCCUAAGGCAUUGGAACAAUUGCUCGCAGAAAGUGAGCCAAGAGAGUUGGUGGGUUUCCUUGUAUUAAUCAAUCAGCUCAUAUGCAAAUUCAACACCUUGGUCCGUGACAUAUUGGAGGAAAUAUAUCCUGCUGUUGCUGGUAGGAUAUUUAAUAUUCUCCCAAGGGAUCCAUUUCCAUCAGGACCUGGGAGCAGUACUGAGGAAAUCCGUGAGUUGCAAGAACUUCAGCGGACAUUGUACACAUUUCUCCAUGUGAUAGCGACACAUGAUCUGUCUUCAGUUUUCCUUUCCCCAAGAAGCAGGGGCUACUUGGAUCCAAUGAUGCAGUUGCUAUUGCGCACCGCUUGUGGUCACAAGGAUACUCUUGUAAGAAAGGCCUGCGUACAGAUCUUUAUUAGGCUAAUUAAAGAUUGGUGCACUAGAUCUUAUGGUGAAGAAAUGGUACCUGGUUUCCAGAGUUUCAUAAUUGAGGUCUUUGCAACAAACUGUUGUUUGUACAGUGUGCUUGACAGAUCCUUCGAGUUUCGUGAUGCUAAUACUCUUGUUUUGUUUGGAGAAAUAGUACUGGCUCAGAAGAUUAUGUAUGAGAAAUUUGGUAACGAGUUUCUCAUUCAUUUUGUUUCAAAAGGUUUCCCUGCUGCACAUUGCCCUCAAGAUUUGGCUGAGGAAUAUUGUCAAAAAUUGCAGGGUAGUGAUAUAAAGGCUUUGAAAUCUUUCUACCAGUCACUCAUUGAAAGUUUGAGACACCAACAGAAUGGAAGCCUUGUUUUCAGAUAGCAUUUUCCUGAUAUGCUAAUCUGAUUAUGCUGCUAAAUGCUUCUUGUUCUAUCCUAUUGUCCUCGGUUGUUGGACUUCAUUUUUGUUGUCAAAGGGUUCUUUUCUUUCUGUAUAUAACAUUUGUGUGGCUACCCCCUGAAUAGUGAGGUGUAAAUUUCCGGAAUCAGUUUCUUUGAAUAUAAAAAAGUUGGCGAUAUCCAUUGGUUUCGAGGUGCUGAGAUUUAGUUCAAGUUUCCAGUACGAGUGGUUGUCUAUAUAACCUUAUUGCCCCCCAAAGUUUUGUGCUUCUUGUCUUAUCAUUUUGUUUCAUCUCUCUAAAUUCAAACAAUUUUCUAGCCUUCUAAACGAGUGGUGGAUUAUUGUUCAUGUGGUCUGUACGUGGAGAGGCGGGGGUACGGUUUAUUCUUUUUUAUUAUGCCAAAAAAGGGGAAAUCAAUGAGCCACUGUUUGCCAAAUCACCUGUAAGAAAAAGUUUGGGCAUGGAUUUUCCCAUAGAAAUGAGUUCUCCUUUUACAUGGCAUUCAAAGUGAAGAUUUCAGUUUUUUCAUAUCAAUGAUCCAUAUCACAUGUAAUUCUUUCAA
Vitis vinifera (wine grape) is the source of this 3931-nucleotide RNA transcript. It is a transcript of the gene named exportin-T, with no coding region annotated. The transcript has 15 exons. NCBI's taxonomy places the organism in Eukaryota, Viridiplantae, Streptophyta, Magnoliopsida, Vitales, Vitaceae. The record is from RefSeq and is a predicted model, not a curated record.